RNAcentral lists this long non-coding RNA (26026 nucleotides) under Fragaria vesca (wild strawberry). Its description in RNAcentral is "long non-coding RNA (FVES_LNC005632)". Lineage: Eukaryota; Viridiplantae; Streptophyta; Magnoliopsida; Rosales; Rosaceae. The record is from RNAcentral.
AUGAAAGGAGUGAUGUGGUACAAGAUCAAAUGGAAACUGCAGCUGGAUUAGAUGUACUGAGUUUGCAGGGAUCGAUGGAUGUGGAAACAUUGUAUUCAACUCUUGUUGAUUCAGCAUUAAAGUGUGCAACAAAUAUAGACAAGAUGGGAGUCGACAAAAAUGAAGGAAGUGGUGAAAGUCCAAUUGAAAUUGCAGUAGCUGCUGAAACUGAACCUCCUUCCCCUACAGUUUGGGAUGACGUACCACAGGAAUGUUAAAAAGGCAACAGCUGAUGAACCUCAUUGUUCAUCGCCAGCAGUUGGGAUGAGAUUGGGUUCGACAAGCAGGACGAAGGUCAAACAACCCGAUAAGGAAGAGGUAAUUAUGUAGGGCAUGCAUUACAAUCAAUGUGAUUUUUUUUCCUCCAAAGCACCACCUAUGCAUUCUCAAAAAAAAAAAAAAUGCACGUAUGAACUGAAAUUAGACUACUAGUCUACUACUACAUUUUUUUUUUUAUCUUUUUAAAAUUAACUUGGCCAGGUUUUUACUCAAGAUUGUAAUAUUAUAUAUUCUAGUGACAUAAAUCUCUGUUUUGCAAGACAUCAUAUGAUAUGUUCGGUUCUUGUAUGUCUUAUGUUCGGUUCUUGUAAAUUGUUAGUCAAUUAUUAUAUAACAAAAGAAAAAAGACGAAUUCGAACCUGGCCAAAAUAUAAAAAAGUAUGGUUAGAAUAACUAAUACNNNNNNNNNNNNNNNNNNNNAAUCCUAAUUGCUGAGUCCGAAUGGAUUUGUGAUUAGGUCUCUGCGAAUUGCUUACGGAUCGCUAUAUAAGAGAGUUCGAGGAUCUGGUUGACGGACAAUCAAUCAUACAAAAACAACUGCAAAUCUUCAAGCAUCCUUGAAACCCUAAGUUCUAAGUGCACCUCGCCUUAGAUCUCAGAUCCCGUCUGGACUCGCUUCUCUUUCCCAAUUGUUGCUCUGCUCGCUUCAAACAGUGAGUAUCGAUUCACAGGUGACUAGAUAGUUUGCUCGUAAUUCCUCGCCCGCGAGGUGACACCGGAGCUCUACUUCGCCUGAUUAGAAGUCAAGAACGCGCACCGUUCUCGUUCCGCGUCCGCGCGGUGGCACGCCCUGCAAACCCUAAUUUACUUUUUGGUAGCACAAGUUACCUCUCUACCCCUGCUGAGGAUCGUGGCCAAAACACUUCCUCUGAAGUCUAAAAGAUCUAUAUGGCUCAGUGCUUUGCUAUUCCACUUUGAACGUACUCUUGAUCUCUCUCGAUCAUUUAAUUUAUUUAGUUUAUAUCUUGAUACAUUAUAUAUGCAGAAACACAGUGAGGAAACAGAAAUGAUCAUGCAAGUGCCUUUUCCGUACGAAUGCAUUGACAACAUCAUCUCACUGACCACUCCUGCAGAUGCCUGCAGACUGUCAUUGGUCUCUACGCGUUUCAAGUUCGCUGCAGAAUCCAAUCAAGUUUGGGAAAAAUUCCUUCCCAGUCCGCAUCUUAUCCAUGCGAUCGAAUCCCAGUCCACGUCUUCAUCAACAUUUGUGCCUGCCAAGUCCAAGAAGGAGUUUUACCUUGCGCUGUGCGAUAACUCAGUCCUCAUGGAUAAUGGGAAGAUGAGCUUUUCAAUGGACAAAUGGAGUGGGAAAAAAUGUUACAUGAUAUGUGCAAGGGAACUUAAUAUUGUUUGGGCACAAGAUAAAUCUAGAUAUUGGAGUUGGAUAUCUCUGGCUGAGUCCAGGUUUAAGGAGGUGGCUUCUCUAGACGAGGUUUGUUGGCUCGAAAUACGUGGGAAAAUCGAUAUGAGUAUUCUGUCUCCAUGGACUCUCUACAAAGCUUAUCUUGUGUACAAGUUAACAGAAGACGCAUAUGGAUUCGACGUGCCUGUGGAGGUCGCAAUUGCUGAAAGGCAUUAUGGAUUUGAAUACGGACCUCUGGAUGCCGCACUUGGUGGAGAUGAAAAUAAGCAGACAGUGUAUCUCGAUCCAAGUCUGGAAAUUAUGGAUGGAGCUCGACGUCCAAAUGAAAGAGCGGACGGCUGGUUGGAGAUGGAGCUGGGUGAGUUUCUAUGCCAAGCAGAAGAAGAUGGAGAGUUGGAAAUGAUGUGCGCGGAGUAUAAAAAUCUGUGUUGGAAGAGUGGUCUUAUUGUGCAGGGAAUCGAGGUCAGGCCAGAAAGGAAGGAAUACUCCAAGGCCAAAGGCAAGGCAGGAUAUUUCAGAGCCAAAGGCAAAAAGCCUGUUUUCUAGGUUCUGACCUCCAAUCAAUGAGUAAGUUGUAAGAUGAUUAGAGUCAUGAUUAUGAGCUGAUUAAGAGUAAUCGUCACCAGUGAAUGAAAUACAACUGUCAGCAUGUUGUUGUCUAUCAAUGCUGAUGUGGAUAUUUUCCAUUUUCAGUGAUGCAAUAAUUGUUUUUUCAUUUAAAAUAAAAUAACUUUGUUUUUCUAGCUUUUCUCUGUAUAAAUACUUUGUUGGCAGUACGUUUUGCUGCAUGAAGAAAUCUAAAAGAAAAUUGCUCCAGGUUCUUCUUUCUUCUUCACUGUUCUUCAUUUCCUAGCUAACUCUAGUUUGAAUAUUUCAUUAUGGAUGCCAUGUUCUCAUAAUUAAGUUUCCACUAUAGUUAAGCUAGCUUGAUGGAAAUAAUAAUUACUCCAUUAUAAUGGAUUCAUAAUUAACGACUCGAGAGUUUAUAGUGUAACAGUCCAGUGUUUAUGUUUGUGUCUAUGGCAAUGGCAUUAGAAGGGAAGUUCAAGAAUUAUUUCAUUUAUUUGUUAAGAGUUGUGUAAUAAACUUCCCUGCUAAGGUACUAUAAAUUUUUCAGUAAGAGCUGUGUGUACAGUACAUGUCCUUUAGGUUGUUAUAUAUCUAUAAAAGUAUGAAAGUGAGGCUACUAUAAAAGUAUGGAAGAGCAGAAAGGUGACUCUAAUUAGUAAUUACAAUAUUGUAGUAUUGUACAUCUUACGCUAGCUAGCAUGUCAUGGAUUUCUAAUGCCUAUACUCCAUUGGAUUGAUCUUGUUGAAGUGACAGAAUUCAUAUCAGUUUACCGAACAGAAAAUGUGUAAGUUUAUGGCAAUCAUAUGAAUUCAACCUGAAAGCAAAGAAUAAUCUGAGAAAAAUAUUGUUUCCUAGCUCAACCAGGAGAAGGCUUGCUCAACUGGUUUUUGACUGCAGUGUUUUUCUGCAGUAACUCUGAUCUCGAUCUAUGAGGUAAAUGCAUAUCAUGUUUUUAUAACUGAUUGUGAAAAGAUUGAGUUUGUGUUUGGUAUAGAUCUAUCUAAAAUAUCUUUGAGAUAAUUUAGGAAGAUAUAUGCAUAUCUGUUAGGAAAAUAUUUGAAAUGCAUAUUUGUUAUAACUAUUUGAUUCAUGUUUCCUUGUAUACCUCAAUUAGGAAUCAAAGGUGAUUCAGUUGAGGGGGAGUCCUUCCCCUGUAUAUAUGAUUGAGUUGUUCCUUGGAAACGCAGAGUUUUUUUAUAUUUUAUAAACACUUUGUGGUCUUACUGCAGCACUGCUGCAUAUUUUGUUUUGAUAAAAAACUCUCAUUCUUUUGUUAUUGCUUCAUUGCAUCUGUCAUUUCAUUGUGAUCGAGAUUAGUGUAUUGGCUAACAAGGUGUGCUCAGUUCAUCUGUUCAAGGCUGGAUCCAUUACUUGUAGAAUAGGAAGAUCAGUUGUAAAAGAUCAAGCUAGUUUGUAUGCUAGUAAACGUGAAUGUAUUGUACUUUACUGUUUGAUAGAAACUGUAAUUCUAUUUGCUAUUAAUGGAUUGUUUUAAGUGUGGAUUACUAUAAAGUCUUGCAGUGAGGUUUCCUUGUGGAAGGUUUACACUGUAGUUAAAAUCUGGUGUUCUUGUUGUUCUUGUUAUUCUUGCAAACUAUAUUAUUUUUGAAAACAGGAAAAACCAGUAAAUAGGUCAUAAACAUACUUUCAAAAUGUCUUCUGUGUAAUAUUGCUCACGAUAAAUCCAUCAUUCACCGACGACUAUGAUAAGAAGCAGACUUCUUUAUUUGUGUUCAUUGUGAAGGAUUUUAAGACUUUGACAUGCUUAAAAUCCAGCAGUUGAUUUUAUACCUGAAAAUUUAUAAAUAAUAUCCUCUUUGUGUUAGUAUAAUGUUGCAAUGCAAUCAGAAAACCACCUAGUACACCCAGAAAUUUUCGAUCUAAUAAUGCGUGUAUCAGGGAUAUAGCUUAAACAGUCCACCGGAGGAUGCAAUCUCAUUACGGGUAUAAGUUUUCUCAAUGGUUUAAUAAUAUAAUCGGACAUUUUCCCCAUAGCACAUUCUUCUACGUACAAUUUCUCAGUACCCCCGGUCUUUUCCUUUCUAUUGUGGCUUUCAGCUUCAGGGAUCACCUCGACCAUAGCAACGGUGAAUUAUUGAGCAACCACGUCUGUAAGGGAUAAAGGAAUGUCCAUCAGGAAAACAAUUGGGGAGUAGUCUUCCAAAAGGGCAUCUGCAAGGGUCAGGGAGUCCGAUGAGAAUCCUUCUAAGCAGGCCGGCCUUGAGAUUUUCGGGGCUCUAGGCGAACCAAAAACUUAAAGCUCUUAAUUUUUUUGAGAUUUUUAUUGUGAAAGCUUAACUUCUGUCUUCUACAUAUUUAUUUUUUUCUUUUUUCCUCUUCACCACUCCUCUCUAUGCAAAGCAGCUAAUUUAAAAAAUAAAAACAAAAUAAAACUAGAUAAACAUGUGCAAAACAAUUUUUAAUUUAUAACUCAAGAUUUAGAUCAAGUUUAUGAAAGAACGAAUGAAAGCCAAAAUCAGAUUUCAUCCAUAAAGACACCAAACUAGAAAAACACAAGCAUCAGUGAUCACAGAAAAAAGACCCAGCCAUCCAUGAGGAAGACAUAAUUUCUAAACAAAGCAAUUUUAGAAAGAAAAGAAAAAACAAAUCAUGAUGAACCAAAGACAUGAUUUUAGGAAUAUAUAUUUACCAAAUUUGCAUAAAUAUAAAUAGAUCCAUAUUAAGACAUACGAGAGCCUUCUAGCCAAAAAGAAAUUAAAUCCAUCGUUGUCACUUUUAGGAAAAAAAAAUUAAACAAAUCUUAUUGAGUCAGUGCCAUAAGUCUUGGAAAAGAAACAAAAACUGGUAAGCAAUGUCAGAGCACGACAGUACUUAAUGAGUCUUAAGAAAAUUGUUUUAAACUUAACAAAUAGGAGACGUCUAAACUUUGGGGCUCAUGGGUUUGGGGGCUCUAGGCUUAGGCCUUCUGGGCCUAUGCUCAGGGCCGGCCCUGAGAAACUCCCUGGUCCAGCGCCACCAUGCUAACUAGUAGUAGGCAGAAGAUUAAUGACUUCAUAUUUGAGGAUGCCAUAUAUGAUCUGAGGCUUAAAUGAUGUUAGGCUUCAAAUAUAGUAGUACGUAAUUGUAUCUUGUUCAAUAUUUGCAUGAGAGAUUGGCCUUUUAUAUGAACUUUGGCUGCCGUAUUACGUUUGCACUGUGGGGUUUGGAAGACUUGAGUUUGUUUCUGCUGUUUUCAUUUGCAGUUUGGUAACUAUUUGGCAGUUAUCCUAUAGCAUUUGCUUUUUUUUUUUCCUAUCUGACCGCUAGUUCAUGACGAGAUUUUAUUUUUAUGUUCCUGUAAGCAGUUUUGGUAACUAUUUGGCAGUUAUAGCACACAGACUGAUUGCUGAUUUUCCUAUUUUAGGCUUCGAUGUUCUUAGUAAAACAGAAGAUCGAGUAUACAAAGUAUGCAGGGAAAAAGGGGUGUGAUCAAGGAAAGAUGGGACUCGGAAGACGUGCAGGAUGUCAAGCAAAGUAAAAGGGAAGGCGUCUUUGAAUAUCAGGUUGCUGGUGAAUAUGAACUUCCAUCAUUUCCCCAGAUGGACUUGCACUGGAACUUGAAGAUCAGUCUGAUGCAUACAGCGAUGCAUCAAUGGGGGCAGUACAGAUUAAUCAUGAAGCUGAAUUGAAUAUGCAUGUGAACAACUUGAAGAGGAAGCUUUUGUAUGAUGGUCACUCGGCCCUUGUGCUGACUGUUGAGAUAUGAAUCCCAUAUCGGGAAUAUGAGACCUUACAUGUGGGUUUAUAAGGGUUUGAGUCACUCCAUCCGAUCCAUUGCCAAUUGGUUUUGGAUGUGAACCCCAAACUACUUUAUUAUGGAAUUAGAGCGGGUUACCCACAUUCACGUGUGAAGCCCAAAGACCACACGCACUCCUCGUCACUCACAUGUUGUCCACGUGUUAGACUUGAAAAUUCGCUACACGUGCGGGGGCGUGUUGAGAUAUGAAUCCCACAUCGGGAAUAUGAGAUAUUGCAUGUGGGUUUAUAAGGGUUUGGGCCACUCCAUCCAUUGUUAAUUGGUUUUGGAUGUGAACCCCAAACUACUUUAUUACUGACAGGUCCUGAACGAUGUGGGAAAACUAGACUGGUUUCAAGAUGAGGAAGUGAAAGAUGAAUUUAAGAACAACAACUUCUGCGUCCCUGUUUCACAGAAUCCAAGUUUGGACCUUAUUGUUCAACAACUAUAUCCAGAGGGCUGCUGGGAGAUUGCAAGCAUUUGCGAAGCAUGUAGGACAUCGUCAUUCUCUGUCGGUACUAGAUGAUGUCUGGCCUGGAUCUGAAUCCCUUCUUGAUGAGUUUGAUGAAUUCAAAAGUCAAAUUUCCAAGAUUCUGGUGACAUUAAGAUUCGAAUUUCCAAGAUUUGGUUCCUCAUCGGCGACGAUUCGCUGCCGAGAGAGAGAGAGAGAGAGAGAGAGAGAGAGAGAGAGAGAGAGAGAGAGAGAGAGAGAGAGAGAGAGAGAGAGAGAGAGAGUAGUAGUAGUAGUAGUAGUAGUAGUAGUAGUAGUAGUAGUAGUGUAGUANNNNNNNNNNNNNNNNNNNNGAGAGAGGAGAGAGGAGAGAGAGAAAGAGAAGAGAGAAAGUUGAAUUUUGAUAUGUCAAAAAAUGAGGUGGUGUUAUUAUUAAAAAGGGUGAAAAUUUUUAUUAAGAAUCAUUGAUAUGAGCCAUGAAAUUUUUUUCUUCAUUGGAUUGGACAUUAUUUUAGCUGUUUUUGGAUAUUUGGGCAUUUUCCCAAAGCUUAACUGUGAAGGCUGGCCACCUAUUUCUUUAACUCUUCGCUAUUACACAAGAGACCAUCAUUUUAACAGUUGACCAACUCUUCACCACCCAUUCCUCGUUCCAGCUGGGUCCUCUACUUAGAAGCAAAGCAAGGUGCGCUAUUUAAAACGACAGCAAGGCCAUUACACUUCGAUACAAAACUGUAAGCUAAUCAAUCAUGGCGGACAAGCUAAUCGGGAAACAUCUGUACAAGCAGCUCCUUGAUGGUGUUAAGGAAGCAUUAGGCAGCAGUACAAAGUUUAUGUCCCUCCUUGAAGAUCUCAGACUGACGCUGGUCUCUCUACAACCACGAAUCGCUCAACAUGAGCCGGAAAUGUAUCUCCUGCCAAAUGAGGAGACCCGAAAUCUCGAGCGGCAAAUGGAGGAGGGAGUGAAGCUAGUUCGCCGGCUAUCGAGUCUUGGCAUGUGGAACUAUCACUGCAUGAGGCGAAGCUACUCCGACCAACUUGCCGAAUUGUUCAGGUCUCUUAGAAGAGUGUUGUACAUUCUAAAGCUGCAGGAAGAGAGACAUACAAAUGAGAUCUUGUUUGUUGCAAGGAACAUUCGCGACAGACAAAAUGACCUGGAAAGAAGGUUAUGUGGUUUACUAAAAGUGACGCUGGAGGAGCAGAACGAAGGCAAUGGUCAGGUGAAAAAUGGAGGAGGGGCUGGUCAGGAUCUGGAGCAAGUGUUUUGCCGUUUGCUUGAACUCUUGGUUUUGGAAGUCGAUGUAGAAUUGAAUGGUAAAAGGAGCUUCAAACCGGUCUUGGUUGAUCUCAAAUCCACGGCUAGUUCCUUCCAACCACUGAUACAAGAGAUAUCACAGCUUAACAACAUACUGCAUCUAUCAAAGGAGGAACUGGAAAAUCUGAGGGAACAAUUGCAGAAAGGUAUCGAGCUUGUUGACAAGUGCUCGAAGGUACCUCGAGGGGAGAGCUACAAAAGGUAUGAAUACUUCGAAAGACUUCUGGAGUUGGAUGAUUAUCUUCGAGGAUUGUUAUGUAUGAUGAGGGAGCAGGUAGCCAAGGAUAUGAAGGAGACUUUGCUUUCUGUAUGCAACUUGGAAAUGAUGCUCACUCGAAUUGAAGAGCUACAUCUGGCACAAAAUCAAAUUGAUCAACACCCUGCAUUGUGAAAGCUGUUUAUUUUUUCCUUUUCCAUUUUUUGGUUAGUUUUAGAACAGCGGUUGCGUAAAUAUGCUCAGAAUUAAUUAUUAAGAAAUUCAAUGUGCCUCCUGCAAUUUACGACUAUCAUACAGUCAUGAUCACUACUCAUUAUUAAUAGACUGAGGUGGAAGCCUGGAAGGUGACUCAAUCUUAUAAUUGAAAUUGUCUAUAGUAGAUGUACCCCUUCUUGGAGACUACAGAAGAUUAUUCAUAAUAUCAAAGCUCUCUUGGUUCAUUUUGAAUCAAUCUCUUUUAAACAUGUGUUCUGGGAAGCUAACUUAGUAGCUAAUCUAGGCAACUCUUGUAAUAGUGAUCGAUCUUAGACCAACAAGGUCCCAAUGGAGGCUACUAAUGGCAUCCUUUUCGAAAAUGUAAACUGUGGAUGUCCUAAAGGCUUCACUAUCUAUUCUACAUACACAAAUACAUACACAAAGGGCGAAUGUGUAUUCCAUUGAGUUCGAUAUUUCGUAAUUGUCUGUUGUGUCAUAUUUUAGGCGAAUUAUAUUUUCCUUAGCAAAAAUAAAGAUUCUACACCUCAAUAUAUAUAUUUACGCUUAUGUUAUGUUUGCUUAAAUAUUUCCGUAAGUAAACUGUCUUGCGUUUCUCUUUGGUUUAAGUUAUAGAGACUCACUGCACUGUGACGUGCCUAAACUAAAGAGGUGCAGUUUAGGGCAUUACACGGUGGUUGGUCGUCUCGUGUAGUGGUUUUGAGAGAUCUUCUCAACAGCGGAGUGGUUCUAAGAUUGGGUUUUGUUCACGCCUCAGCAGCAAUGGCAAGGCAUGGUGCUCACUAGCGAAUUUUCAUUGGGGAAGGAGGUGGCCAUGGCCCUUAAAUAUUUUCAAAAAUCAUGAUGUGUGCAUAUAUAAUUGUCUAUGGGUUUAAUGAGCUUGAGAGAAAAUCCAUGUAUUGGCCCCCUCAAACACAGUUUCGUAGUUCCGCCGUUGGCGGUGCUCGAGUGAAAUCGCGGCUGGCCGGCUGCAUCUACAUCUAGUCAACUCUAGAUUGUUAAGCAUAUUUGAGGUUUCUUUGUGGCGGCAGAGUCAUGGUUCUCGUGUUUGGAAGGCCAUUGGAUAAAACUGGCGGUCAAGGCUCCACCGAAAAGUUGACCACAUGGUCAGUUUUUUUUGGAAGGGGGUUUAUGCGGGCUUUAUUGUUCGGUGCUUAUAGUGUCAUGGUAGAGCGGUCAAACAUGUCCAGGCAAAGCGACGAAGCCGAUUGUGGCGUGGGUGUGAAAAAGUAUGGUCAAGCAAAGGAGUGAAACUUUUUAUUUGAAGAGAAAAAAGAUAAUUUCAUUACUUAUCCAUAACCAGACGACACUUACAUCAAUGCUUGGUUUACAUCAGAAUGCUCGAACAGUAAGCAAAUCGAAACUAUUUGAAGGGUACGCUCCUUAGAAACGAGUUUAACUCAAUUAUUGAGUGUACAUACAAAUGACCUCAACUCACUCGUAUCAAAUUUCAUAGCAAAGAAGUGGUUGCAACGGGAUGGUGGGGUAGGGACUUCAAAAAACAUGUAUGUGUGUGUGUAUAUAUAUAUAUAUAUACACAUACAUGGCUCUUCCAAUGAGGGAUCCAUUUUUUUGUUCAUUUCUAGGGAUAGGGUAUUUGACAAACUUCCCGUUCACUAAAUCACAUCUCUACCGUUCAGUUUGUAGGUGUAUAUGAGUAGAUCACUUCUGCAAAUUUUCAGAAAAUUUGGUGAUCGUUAAGUCAUCCAAAUGUUUGAUUUAAUUUUAAUGAUCUUGAACGGUGUAUGUUUGACAUAAAUGUUAAGUUUUUUCUUUUAAUCUCAGCCAUUUAAGCCCACUAAAAAACAAGAUCUAAUGGUGUGGGUCUAUCCCUAAAAAUAGACAAAAAAUAAGGGAUCCCUCAUUGGAAGAGUCUUGUGCGUGUGUGUGUGUGUAUAUAUAUAUACAAAGAUUAUCAGGUGCGAAAUCACAUCUCUACCGUUCAGUUUGUAGGUGUAUAUGAGUAAAUCACUUCUGCAAAUUUUCAGAAAAUUUGGUGAUCAUUAAGUCAUCCAAAUGUUUGAUUUAAUUUUAAUGAUCUUGAACGGUGUAUGUUUGACAUAAAUGUUAAGUUUUUUUGUUUUAAUCUCAGCCAUUUAAGCCCACUAAAAAACAUAUCGAAUGGUGUGGGCCUAUCCCUAAAAAUGACAAAAAAUAGGGAUCCCUUAUUGGAAGGGUCUUGUGUGUGUGUGUGUGUGUGUGUAUAUAUAUAUAUAUAUAUAUAUCAAGUUUGGUCGGGUUUCAAAAUCAAUAAUAUUAAGUCAACAGAAUUUUCUUCAAUGUAAGUUCAUGGAACCUAUGGUUAUGGUCCUUAGAGUAAAUGCAGCAAUGGUGCAAUUUAGGGGUUGGAUCGAAUAUCGGAUCGAAAAACACCAUCCACCAGUGAAGAAUUAGUUAGACGUGGGUCUCAUGUGAAGCCCACCUAACCCGACCAAUGCAUGGGGUAAUUCUCAACCCAUAGAUUACUCCGGACCAAUAUAACUGUGGGGUCCAUACACACCAUUUUGCACAUGGUGUUUGUUUAUCAAUAUAAAAAUAUUCUUUCCACAAUGUACAUAACAAUUAGUCUUUAGAUUGAUUUAAGGGCCAAUUAUAUAUAAGUCCACUUUGAGACAUUUUUUCCCACAUAAGUCCACUCCAACAUUUUUACCCAUAUAAGUCCACCCAAGCCUAAAUAAAGUUUUGGUUUAGGUAUUGAAGUUCAACAUAAUUACAGACUGUCAUCCAACCAAAAAAUUAGAUUUUCUCUCUUAUAUUUACAAAAAUGCCACUAUUGUAAAAAGUCAACAACCAGUCUUCUCCCCGGAAAAGUACCCGGCAAACCUCUGGCGAGGUCUCCAACGAACUCCGGCUAACCUCUGGUGAUGUCUCCGGCCGAAUUCCGAUGAGGUUUUCGACGGUUACGAAAGCUACUACAGCCACCAACAAAAACUACUAUCCCUAGCUAGAAAAACUAUUACCACUGACUAGAAAAGUUACUACCAUUGACUACAAAAGCUAUUACCGCCAGUAAGAAAAACUACUAUCCCUAACUACAAAAGCUACUACCACCAACUAGAAAAGCUACUACCACCGACUACAAAAGCUACUACCGCCAGCAAGAAAAGCUACUACAGCCAGCAACAAAAGCUACUAUCCUAGCUAAAAAAGCUACUACCACCGACUACAAAAGCUACUACCGCAAGCUACAAAAGCUACUACUAACAACAAAAGUUACUAUCCCUAGCUACAAAAGCUACUACAACCAACAACAAAAACUACUAUGGAUCGAUGCGAGGAGAGAGACAGGCUCUGGGGAUCUGAAAGGCAUCGUCGUUAUCGUCGACAGAAUCAAAGAUGCAAUUGAGCUCAAAGUUGUCAUCGUCGAGGCGUCGUCGAUUGAAAUUAAGACGCAGUGGAGGUCGAGCCGGACGAUUGUCGACAAUGGAUCAUCUGAGGGAGAGACCUCGGACGCAGACAGAUAUGCGAUCGCAUUUAAGAGCCAGUUUGGUGAUCGAUGAUCUUAAGGGAGAUGCAGUCGAGGCUGAGAUCGUCGUGUAGGCAUCGUCGAAGGUCGAUCUGGAAGUCAUUGUCAAGGCUAGGCGGCGACAUUGUAGUCGUCGUCAAAUAACCAAUCGAGGUCCUGCCGGAAUUCGUCUCAAUGCGGUAGUGGCGUUAGAAUCGAAGGAGAGAGAGAGAGAGAGAGAGAGAGAGAGAGAGAGAGAGAGAGAGAGAGAGAGAGAGAGAGAGAGAGAGAGAGAGAGAGAGANNNNNNNNNNNNNNNNNNNNGAGAGAGAGAGAUUUGCGUGAGAGGGAGGAUAGAGACGUUUUAGGAACCACAAGUCUCUUAUCUUUCAGAACAAGGAUAAAAUGGUCAUGAUGAAAUAAUGGGAGCAAGCAAAGUGGACUUAUGUGGGUAAAAAGAUUAAGGUGGACUCAUGAAGGAGAAAAUGUUGAGAAUGGACUUUUAUGAAAUUUUCUAUUGAUUUAAUUGUUGUAUUGUCGAGCCAAAAGCUAAAGACUGAUUUAGAUAAAUAUUCUAUAUUAAGGGAAACUACAAUUUAAUACCUAACCUAAUUUCAUCUUACAAAAAAGUCAUUUAAUUUGUUUCUUUAACAAUUUAGGACAAGAAUUUGCAUUCUAGUCCUUUUUAUCUUAUAUGUUCCUUUAUUUUUGCUAUUUCUCUUGUUUUACAUUCGGUAAUAAUUUUGACGGAGCAUGGUGGGCCUAUGAAUUUGUUUAUUUAUCAUAAUACAAGUAUAUAAAUCUAUCCUCUAUACUCAAAGGUAGACAGUUAAUUUUUCAUCAUUGGAGAAUAUAUUGUUACAAGAUUAGAAUAUUUAGCAGAAGCUAAACAAUCAUAUAAAGAACUGCAAGAAGAAAGAGAAAAAUUCAGAAAACUAAAAGAAAGAAGAGAUAAACUUCCAAGAAGUACCAAAAAUUACUGGGAUAUUAUUUUCCAGUUGCAACGAAGGAUAUACGAAUCAAGAGAAGAAAUUGAAGUCCUUCAAGAAACUUUUGAACAAGACCAAAAACCUCUUGAUAUUUUGAGUAUCGAUUAGAUCCGCCCUAGCUGGUAUAAGAACCUGCUUGGCUCAAAAGCAAGAAAGCAAAAGGCUUAUGCCACAAAGUUGGCUUCUCUUGACUAACAAGAGAGAAUCCAAACUUAAAAAUUAUCAGUCUUUUUGUACUACAAAAGGAACUGACAAGUGGGAAGUGUGCUUUCAUUUAAGGCACAUUCAAGAAAAUCAGUACUCCAUUGAGUACGUGUGUAGAGUAUUAAAUACGCUCUACGACGAACAUAUUCAUCUCCAAAGAGAGAUCGGAGUAGAAGAGCUUGAUCCAGCAAGACCAAGCUUAAUCGAGUUCCUAGAUCGUUUAUCUAGGGAUAAGACAUCUGAUAAGAUUGCAUAUCAACUCGAGAGAUUUAAUCUAAGGAUUAAUCAACUUGAGGAAAUAAAUUCAAAAAUUGCUCGGCUUGAAAUCAAGCUAGAUUAUCUCAAAGAAAAACAAUAUCUAAUAGAUAUUGAAAGAAAAUUAGUUCGCACUGAGAACCUUGCAAAUAACAUACAUCAACAAGCAAUGGAACUAAGAGAAACUCAGGAAAACCUGAAAAAGCUUUUAGAAACUCUCAUCUCCAGAAUAUGAUGAAUCAAAGAGUUGAUCUAAAAGUAAAAAAGGAAGAUGUUAAAACUAUUGGCUUUCAUCGUCCUAUAGAAAAAUUUGCUGAAAAUGUGGAAGCAAUAAUUCAUCAGCAGAAUUAUAGUAUCGCUUAUCUCCAGGAGAUAAGUAUUGACCUCGAAGUUCAAUUUUGAGAAUUACAUACAAGAUCUCUAUUCUACAAAAGUGUAGAAAAGAUGAAGGAAGGAGAAAUCUAUGAGAGGAUAAAUGAAGAAGCACUAGCUCAAAACGUGGCUAGUAAAAUCAUUAUACCUCCCCCAUCCUCACCAACGGGAGAAGGAAGACUAAGGUUUAGUGAACCAAAGCUUCUGGAAUGGAAAGCGGCAAAAGCAUCAAAAUCUACAACUAAGAGAGAUAUGAAAAUGCUGAGUAGAAUCCUCAAUAAAAGGAACACAGUUCCGGUACAGUUAAUAAACGCUCAAGAAUUUGAGUAUAAUGAAAUUGAAUCUAGUGUGCGAGAAGCAUCUGCGCCUAGAUUUAAAUUCAACAAGAUCUAUAAGAAAGGAUAUUUCAUUAUGGAUUCUCACAGAUUCAAGAUUCUUGAAUUAACUGUUCCAGCUAUAGGUGGAGAAACAGAUAUCAGAUUGAUAACUCCAAAAGAAGUAAAUGAAGCUUUCCAGAAAAAAUAUUCGUAUAUGCAUAUUAGAGCAGUCCAAGUAGGAAUAAAACUCUUAGCUAGAGAUGGUAUAGAUUAUUCUGUUCUAUGUGUCCUACAAGACGAUAGAAUAACAGACUUUAAGAAAAGUCUGAUAGGCGCAAAAGCACCUACAAAGAUACCCUAUUAUCAAAUCAAUUAUAUCAAUGUAGUAAACGGCAAAUAGGGGUCAUUACCCGCAGAGGAUUGGUGAUACUAAGACUUAAACACACAAGAAACACAAACAGACGCGUAAACCAGAAAUCUGGCAGACUCGACCUAGGAGCAGAAAACUAAUUAAUUAGCUAAUCUAGACUCAACCAAAAAUUAUGAAAUUAAAUACACAGUAACUAGACACAGUGGCGGACUACCACACAAAUUUUGAGGGUAUUCGGAGUUGGUUUGAUUGAUGAACAAAAAUAGAUAAAACAGAAGUACUGCUGAAAACAGAAUAUUAAAAAGUGAAUAUGGAUGUAAAUAUGAGAGAAACAAUAGCUAGGAACUUCUCUCCACCACUAGAUACGCUUCAAUCACCCCAAAACAAUGUNNNNNNNNNNNNNNNNNNNNCUAAGGAGUUUAGUUACACAUAAUCUUGAUUAAGAACAUCAGAGAAUACAUGGAAGAUGAAAUAAGGGUGAGAAGAAGAAAACUUGAUUGAAGAAGAUCUUUGCCGAUUGAGUUCUUUUUCCUCUCCUUUCUUUCUUCUCCUUCUCUCUCUUUUUCUUCUCUUUCUUUCUUCCCUUUCUUUCUUCUCUUUCUCUCUCUGGUUCGGCCUCCCUCUUUUUCUUCCCUUCCUUUCUUUUUCUUCUCUUGUUUGGCUGCCCCCUUGUAUAAAUAGGUUAGUUAACCUAUAUCUCACGUCCAUCACCAAUCCAACUAGGAUUAGGGAUCCUAAUUAAGCCCAAUUAUCUUCUUUUCUUUGUUUGACUUCAAAACACCUAAAAACAAAUAAAGUUAAUUAAAAAUAGGAAAACAUCACAAAAUAAAUAAGUAAUAAGAAUAAUUAGCAUGAUAAAAGUCGCACAAAUAUGCGACUAUCAAAGUCUGUUAGGAACAGUAGAAGCUUCCUUGUGCAACCAAGUUGCAUAUUUCAAUGUUUUCCCAAAUUUCACAACACAUCUCAGAGAUGCGGGUCACUGUCUAAGAUUGAGAAUCAAGACAGAUGGGAUUUCUAUGAAAAAGGGAAUGAUGGAACUUGCGAUAGAUUAUCGAAUCUAUUAUAAGUUGAUGAGUUCAAAUGUAACCCAUAAUACCAGGUUUCUAAAUAGCCCUGGGAUUACUACAUCUGUGCUCACCAACCCAAAAAAUAAUGCUCAACAAAUACAUGUCACAAAAUGGCAUGAAGUAAUAUUCCCAAGAGAAUGGAACUUGACCCCUCCUGUCAGACAGCUUGAAAGCUCCAAUGCUUCAAUUUAUGAAGACAUGGGAGGUAAGAUAAGCUUACAAUUUCAUAGGCAUUCAUUUGCUAAUUAUGAAGAAGCUAGUUCCUCUAGAACUAAAUCAAUCUUUCAUGAAGAAUCCUUUGAAGAAGAAGACACCAAAAGACCUAUGAAAAUGCUUAAAGCAGGAGAUUUAAAAGGAUUAUAUGCACAAGCUGAGACUAGUGAAUCCGUAGAAGAAUUAGAGAAAAUCAUGAAUGAAAUUUCUCAAAUUCAACUUAGAAAAGAUAAGAGGAAGAUUCUUCCUUAUCAAGCAGCAAAAGAUGAGCCUCCUAGUUCAUCCUCUAUAGAUACAGGAGAUGGGGAAAGACAAGUCCCUCCAGAUGGUGGUCAUACCAUAAUACAGAACAUUACAAACAACCCAACUAAGAUCAUUCGAGAAAAGAAUAUCAAAGUCCCAAAAGGGCAGGCUCCUACAUGAAGGAGUGGAGAACGAAGUUCUCAGAAGUAUAUCCCUACAGAACCCAAAUGGGGACAGUCAAUGUCCGAAAGAGAGGUUUAUCUGGAUUUAGACCAUGUAUGAGAUAAAAGAAAGACAAUAGACAACUGGGUAGCUAGUUUAAAGCUAACUCAGGCGCUAGUGUUAUCAAAGUUUGCCUAUGAAGAUGCUCAUGCAUAUUAUGAAUCAACCCUAACUGGAAUCGUCCAUAAGUGGUACCAGUCAUUCAAAAGAAGUUCUCAAUGGACUGAUUGGGCAAGCAAGUUAGAUCAGACUAAUAAUCCUUUAGACUUUGCAGUGCCAAUCUAUGCACAAUUCUGUGGAGAUAUCACUGGGCAUAGUGAACAGUAUAAAGAAAGAGCUAAAGCAAAUAUUCAUAAACUGAGUAUUUGUAACAUGAGAUAUUUUGAAGAAUACACCAAUGAGUUCCAGAACUACUUCUGCACUAUUGGAGAUAUUGAGAAUGAUGAUCUCAUCAGAACAUAUUACAGAAAGUUGCCAGAGCCCUGGAAUGAUGCAUUAGCUCAAUCAUUGGAAGAAAACCCCAUACAGUAUUUUACUGUAGGAGGAAUUGCAGAAAGAGUUAGGGAUCUCCUAAGAAAGCAAUGCACAGAGAACAGAAAGUCCAAGACGGCCAAGAAGCAACUCAGAGGAGUUGAGAAUAUGUGUCCAAAGAUAUUGGAUACUCCAACACAAUGGGGAUGUCAUAUCCCUACAGAAAGAAGGCACAGAAAAAAGUUCGCUGGAACCAAGCAUGAUAAAAAAUUUGCUUCUAAAAAGAAAGUAUAGGUUCAGGAAAAGGCCUGAAUAUAAGAAAGAACAAUCUUCUCAAACUUCUCCUAGAAAGAGAUUUUUCAAAAGAAAAAAGAAAACCAAUUCUUCUUCUAGAGAAGUAAAGAAAUGCAGAUGUUGGUUUUGCAAAGCAGAAGGACAUUACGCAAAUGAGUGUCCUAAAAAGGACAAAAGAACUUCAACGGCCUUAAUUGCUGAAUACAAUGAAGCAAUAGAGUAUGCUAAUCUAAAAGGCUUCGAAGUUGCAUAUUCUGAUGAAGAGAAUGAAUCAAUAUAUUCUCUUGAGUACCCAUCAGAAAAUGAGACUAAAAGUACCUCAGAAAGUUCUGAAGAAGAAGAAUAAGAAGAUGUAAGAUAUCGUCCUAUAUUUUUAUUACAGAUACAAAAUUGGAAAGAGGAAAACACUGAUAUUAUCAGUACUUUCCAUCCCAACCCGGGAAAAUUCAACUGUGAUUAUUGCAAAUGCGAUGAUAAUAAUGCAAUUCCCAUAUACUGUGAAAGUACAGGAGACACUUACCAUCGAGAAUGUUUUAUUGCAGAACUUAGAAGAAAAACCAGAGAUAAUGAAGCACAUAUCCUGGUCGAAGAGGAAUAUAAUGUAUUCCAUAAAAAAGAAAAAGAAAAGAACCUUGAAGAGGAUAUAAAAACGAUGAAGUUUGUAACUUCAUUAAGUUAGAACAGGGAAAUCAAGGAAUCUCUUGAUUCUCUCAAUUCCAGUUCCAAUUCGAUACUGGGUCUAGCAAAUGACAAUCCUCUGGAAUCAAUAACUACAGAAAGAAGGGUCAAUCCUUUCACAUAAUUACUUGAUGAUCCAAGAAAACAAGCAAGAAUAAUGCCAGUCCAGACGAGCAUAUAUAGUAAUUAUAUUACUAUAGGACUGAAAUUUCCCAAUUACAAGAAAUAUCAUCUACAUGCAUUUGUAGACACUGGUUCAGGGUUUAGUCUUGCUAAAAGAUAUGCUAUCCCUGAAGAAUAUUGGGAAAAAUCUUCAAGAACAGUCACUGGAGUUGUAAUGGAAGAGAAUAACAUAGUCAUGGAUACUAUGACACGAAAUGUGCAAGUUUCUUUGGGCAGAGGAACUUUUAUCAUCAAGAUUCUCUAGCAAUGUGAAGGUCAGACAGUUGAUUUGUUGAUAGGAAAUAACUUUCUUCUUCAACAAACAGUAAUUCAAACUCCAAAAAUGAUUGGGUUUGAAAAAAUAAAAAAUAUUAUUGGGAAUCCCGAUUAACAGACGCAGUACGCGUUACUAGUCAAGGAUUUACAGACCAAUAUCAGAAGUCGCCAGCGAAGAGUGGUGAUUAUAAGCCAAUUUUAAAACCCGUUUUGUUGUUACAAGAGCAGCUUAAAGGUCACAAAGAAAUAUUGGUGAAUGAAGAAACAAGUUCAUAAGACUUUGAUUCAGAGGAAAAUUCUGAAUAUCAAAUUUCUGACAAUGAGAGUUCUGAUGGAGAAGAAGAAUACAUCAGAGAGCAUAACUUAAAGAUAUAUGCCAACAAGAUAGAGCAAAAGAAAAUACCAACUCUCAUAGAAAUAGAAAAUAUGCUGAAACCAGUAAUCAGUGAAGAUCCUCAGUUGUAUUGGGAAAGAGACCCAAUAUAUUGUCAGCUAAAAAUGCAUGAUGCAAAUACUAUUUGCCAUGUUAAGGCCAUCCCUCAUUACAGAGAAGAAGAUAGGAAAGAAAUGGAAAAUCAAAUCCAAGAACUUCUGGAAAAGAAGUUAAUCAGGCCUUCAAACAAUCCUCAUCAUGCCCCAGCAUUCUUGGUAAGAAAUCAUGCAGAACAAUUAAGAGGAAAAGCCCGAAUGGUGAUAGAUUACAGAGAUGUGAAUAAAAAGACCGUUAAAGACGGUUAUCAAAUUGCUCAGGUGAGAGUUCUCAUCAACAGGCUUAAAGGAGCAAGAAUCUUCUCUAAGUUUGAUGCAAAAUCAGGCUUUUGGCAGGUUAGAAUGCAUCCUGAUUAAAUUGCUUUGACAGCCUUUGGAACUCCUCAAGGGCAUUAUGAAUGGUUAGUUAUGCCAUUUGGUCUUAAGCAAGCCCCGUCUAUUUUCCAAAGGAAAAUGGAUAAUAUCUUCAAACCAUACUCAGAUUUUUGCAUAGUUUACAUAGAUGACAUUCUUGUCUUCUCCAAAACUAUGAAUGAGCAUUUAAAGAUCUUGAACAGGUGUGUAAGCUUAUUGUCCAGAAGGGAAUUAUCCUCGGACAAAAGAAGAUUCAUCUCAUUAAAGGAGAAAUUGAUUUUUUAGGCAUUCAUGUUAAGGAUUGAGAGAUUCAUCUCCAAGAACACAUAGUUAAGAAAAUAAGCCAAUUUCCUGACAAUAUCCCUGAUGCAAAAUCUUUGCAAAGAUUUUUGAGAGUUGUUAAUUUUGCAAGAGAUUUUAUUCCUCAAGUCAGUGGUCUCACUGCACUUCUCUCUCCAAAAACAAGCUCUAAAAAGAAAUGGUCUUUCACAGAAGAUGACAGUAAUACUGUCAGAAAGAUUAAAGAAUUAACAAAAAACCUUCCUCCUUUACAGCUACCUGAAGAAGGAGAUUUGAUCAUUUUGCAAACUUAUGCAAAUGAUUAUUACUGGGCAGGAGUUGUUUUAGCUGUUGCUCCAUAUACAAAUCAAGAAAAGAUUUGUAAAUUUCUUUCAGGAAAAUUUAACGCAGCAGAGUUAAACUAUUCUAUUGGAGACAAAGAAGUCCUUGCUUUAAUUAAAAGCAUUAAAGGUGCCGAAUCAUUCUUAGGAAACAAAUUUGUAGUAAGAACUGAUAACAAAAGAGUUAAAAAUUUCAAAAACUACAAAUUAACUGAUGCUGCUGAUAGAGGAAGAGUUCUGAGAUGGCAAAUGUUUUUAACUCAAUAUCAAUAUGAUGUUGAAAUGGUUGCAGGUGACAAGAACUAUUUGUCUGACGCUCUUACAAGAGAAAUGGCGAGUUUUGAAAGAGAAGGUCGUAAUCCUAGAAGCCGAAAACCGGUAUCAGAGGAGAAGCUUUGGGAAAGAUAUAAAAGCGGUGAUAAAACCGUAGGACCUGACACGACCCACCCCGAAUUUCACCCUGAAACCCGGAGUAAGUCGUGCGGGGACCACCUCCAAAGAAAGUUUACCGAAAAAUCGACAUAACCUCCCUUGAAAAUGGACAACCCUUCCUAAUAAAUACCUGCAAACACUUCUGAAAAAUCCAAAUCCAACCUUAAACUCCUGGAGCCUUCGUGCUCCCCAAAUCACAACAUCUCCCAAUUUAAUUACUAACUUAAACAAGAAAAUCUCAUAGCCAACAGCCACAGUUCAGAGCAACUCUAUUUGAAAGGAAAUGGACUAGAAAUAUAAAAAUGAGCGGAAGCUACACUAUUGACUAUGCCUUUUCUCCAAAUACGUCCGACCUUAACUAUGCAAUCCUGCAAACUGGGCAUUUUUAAAACGAAGAGCCCAGGGGAAAACAUUUGAAAACGAAACGUUAGAGUGAGGGGACAAAAAUAAAUUAACGAAUAAAAUAUUUAUGUUUCCCCAAAUCAAUUUCCAAAGAAAAAAAUCGAAUGCAUGCUGCAAGCGAUAAAACUUUUAUCUCAUAAAUGUAGAGCCUCUUAGGCUCUAUAAUAUAUGUAUGUAUUUACACACGUCCAUACUCCCUAUAUAAAUUCAUGGGUCUAUAUAGGGCUACUACGCUCGCGUCCAACGCUCACGUCACGCCUUAAUGCGGUGCUACACUACGCCAUUAAGGUGGACAGACGGGUGUAUAAAUAUGUGCCCAUACCCCUUAUAUGAAUUAAACACUCAUAUAGGGCUACUACGCUCACGUCCAACGCUCACGUCACACCAUAAUGCGGCUAUAUGCUACNNNNNNNNNNNNNNNNNNNNCAGCGGCGGCCGGAGGCCAAAUCCGGCGACCUCCAAAACCUAUGAAAUUUUGACAGAACGAUCACCUCAUCAUGCUCUACAACUUUCAUGACCAGCACAACACCCAAUUCCAAGCCUAACUAGGCUAAUCGAACGAAAACAACUCAAAAAGCCCUAGAGCUUCCACUCACCGGUUCUCCUUACCUAGACCACGAGAGGGCGAGCUCUUUGGAGGGGUUGCUGCACGGGAGGAGAGCUUUCUUUUGAGCCAAGAAUCGCCGGCUUUGGCGGCCGGAGGAGGGAGCUCCGGCGAUGGAGAGCUACGGCAGUCGGACCCGUUCGAGCUAGAUUCCACUCGAUCGGCGGCGCUAGGGGGGCUGUCACCGGUCCAGGAAGGUGGCUGGGUUGAUGGCCUACCGAACGGGACCGGUGCGGCGGCGGUUGGUGGCCGGACGGCGGCGGGCAGCCAAGAAGAAACCGGCGGGGAGAGAGAGGCUCGGGUGCGGGAAACCGGGAGAGAGAGAGAGAGAGAAAAAGGGCUGGGCUUUGACCACCCGUUGGCCCGGUCCAACCUUCUUAUACCACCCAAAUCCAGAAAUAAAACACCCCGAAAAAAUAAUACCCGAAUAAAAAUUACCUUUUACUAGCUAAUAUUUACCAUUUUUACCGUUGUCAUAUUUUCUCCCACGAAUAACUCCCCGAAAUUAAUCGUCCCUCAAAACACCUCUAGGGACCGAUUAAACUAUUACCUCAAUGACGGAGACGGUAAAAUUCUUAUUAUAACCAAGCUAGUAAAUAAGGUAAAAAUUUAAGGGUCGGGAUGUGACAGGACCUCUCCAUGACGGACCAGGUUAUCAAUACAUCAUUUCAUAUGGAACUGCUGAGUCAAGCCAGUCUUCAGAAAGAAUCAAGCCAAGAAUAGAUCAAGGAUGGGAUGAGUUUUCAGACCAUUCUAAAAAAGAUACAGAUCAGUCUGUUACUUCUGAGGAAGAAAAGCUCGCACAAGAGUUCUUGCUGUGUCCGAAAGGAACAACCUCAAUUGAUCGGUCUCAGGGUAAAAGACCGGCUAGCCCGUCUCAAACGGCAGACGGUAAAGGCAUAUCAAGUCCGUUGAUAGCUGCUGCUUUGCCAAAAAGCAGAAAUGCCUCUUUUAAGGCAAUCAAAUCACCUCUUGUCACUGGAAAGAAAGUUAUUCAUGAUCAACCUCUGAAGAUCUUUCAGAGACCUGUUUUCAGGACAGAAAGGCUUCUACCAUUUAAGUAGAAGAUUAUUAUUGAUAAUAUUCUGUAUUCAUUUUAUGAAGAGAAUGAAGCUCAUUUGCUCCAAACACUUAAAGCUUUAACAGAAGAAUUGUAUGGAUUCCAUACAAAAGAUACAGGAAUACCAGCAGAAAAUCAAGCAGAAAAUUCUAAGGUUGUUUACCUUGAAAAUCCUAAAAGUGCUAAAAUUCCAAUACUAGCACUAAAAAAAUUUGAAUGGUAUAAGUUUCAUAAUCUCCUAGGAGAAGGCAAAGAUGUUCUUCCAAGAACAUUAUCAGUAAUCUCUGGCCCAUAUUAUGGGAGAUACUUAGUUGAUGUUCAAGCAGAACAUCCCCAGAAGCACAAGUUGUGGCUUGUAGAAAAUGGUUUUGUUCAUAACCUUUGGACAAAAACUAAUGAAGAUUUGAACGGAUUUCCAGCCAUAAUAACUGAAACUGUCAAGAACAUUAGGCCUGAUGGAUGUAUUUUGAGAUUAAAAUUUAUCUCUACUCCCCCAGAAUGGACGGUAGUAGAUGGACAAACAAAUUAUAUCUCUCCUUAUCAUUUUUUCAGGUUAAUCCAAAGACCAGUUCAGAAACCAGCCGUUGCAGGUGGCAAUGGUAGACCCAAUCAAAGCAUCCCAUGGAUGAAGGCUAUGGCAAUAGCUAUUAACAAAUAUGUGGUCUUAAGAGACUAUGAUUCCAGCCUUUUGGCAAGUGGAGAAAAAAUAAUGGUCACUUGCUAUAAUCACCCUCUACCAAAGAACUGUGACUUUUUCACAGCUCUUAUGAGAAAAGAAGUUGAUUACACUCUGGCUACCACCACAUGGCUACAAAAAGUUGAGAAAAAUGAAAAGUAUAAGGUUUCUUAUCCUUUUGAUUCAUGCCUGGAUGGUGAAGAAGAUGACAUUGCAUGUGAUUGGGAAAACAGUGCUCCCAACUCCUCAGCAGGAUAUGAUGAAGAUCCGGAAGAAUAUCACAACAUAGUAAAUAUGUUGGAUAAAUGAGCGGUUGCGGACGCAUCAGGACAAGCAACUUUUUCUUUUGUUAAAAGUUAGUGGCAGCUGACGCAUAAAGAAAAACGACUUUACUUUUCCAAAAGUAAAGUUAUCAAAAUAAGAUACCUCCUGUCCCCCACUACGUAUAAGAUAAGAUACCUCUUGUCCCCCACUACGUAUAAGUGUUUUUAAUUCCAGUUUAGAGUCCGCUCCCUAUAAAAGGAGCUUUAGGCGUCUUUGAGAAGGCAUGGAUCAGAAACUCAAGAUAGAAGUUCUCUCAACCUUUCUCAAGAAGUAAGAUAGCCAGAAAACAGUUGUCUAGUAUAGUGUGAGAAUAAUAGAGUGUUUAUUGUGUGGUGUGCUGUAAUCAUCUGGUAAGAAGUGUUGUAUAUACAAGUAAGUAUCUAUCUUGUAAUCAUGAGUAGCUAAACAGCCUUUAGCUGUUUACCUGAGAGCGAGGCUCUAGAUUGUAUAUUUGUUUUUAUGUUUGAAUAAAUGAAUUCUAGCUUGUGCCCUAUAAUCCGGCACAAAAAUAGCAAUAAUUAAGUUUGAUUGUUAGUAUGUUUUGUUUUUACUUUGCUAGUAAGUACUAAGAAGUUUUACUAGACUAAGGCAGCAGUGAUUCCGCUAAGUUAAGUAACCAGAAAGACAAGGUGUCGUUAGGUGAAAAAAUGGAAUAUUGAAGGCUAGUUCUUAGGACAGUAAUUCUUAGACUUAUUUGGUAAAAAAGUAAAGUAAAAAAAAAAAAAAAAAAAAAAGGACUAAACUGUACAAGUGAAAUUGUUGUUGAUUGAUUUGUUAAUUGAAAUUUUGUCAGGUAGUGUUUUGUAUUUCUCCCUAUUGUAUUAACUCGGAUUGAGAAUUUGUUCAACCCACCCUAAAAAAUAAAGUGCAUUUGCUUUUCUGGAGUAAGGGGAUGACGAGGAAGUAAUUUACACUUGCCAAUCAUUGAUUGACACGUACUCCAGACAAACAAAGUACUCAGAGUAUCGAGUACAUUCCAAAACUCACCGUUUAUUCUCCUCCAUUCGUUUUAUUUCUUUUCAUAUUUAUUUUUCUUUUUGUACGUAGAAGUAAAUUUUCUCGGUGUACAUGAACAGAAAGAUGAAAUAAUUGAGUCAGGCAGCUUGACUUGUCAUAUGGUCACCGAACUGCAGCGCAUUAUCACUUUUGUACUCGGAAAAGAAAGGCUGCAGAAGUUAAUCAUCAAUUCAAGGAGGCUACAGGAGUACGGGAUCUCACAGUUCAGAUGGAUCGUCUUCAAAGCUAGCUGGUCUUAAGUCUCAACCAAGCAGCAGCAGCACUCGAGGUUGGUGAAGUUUAGAUUCGAAAAUAAUUACAUUAUAACUUGGUUUGGUUUGUUGUAAGUAUGGCUCUAAAUUUUGUUGGUGGUAUACCUUUUCAACUUCUGUAUGAUGGGGUUAAGCUGGGGAUUCGCAAAUCUAGGAAGUUUAGAAUCCAGCUCCAAAACCUUCAAAUAACGCUUGAUGGUUUACAACCUUACAUCAUCCAAGGGAUAGAAGAUAAUAAUGUUCGACUUAAUCUCCCAACCGAGAUAAUACAAAGCCUCAGAACAAAAAUGUUGGAGGGUAAAGAGCUGGUGGAUAUGGUGUUGAAGCUUAGCAUGUGGAACAUCCGCAUCUGGGGCAACUGCUAUAAUUGUUUAGGGCCUGAUUGGGCAGAACAACUAAGUGAGUUGGAUAGAUCUCUUAGAGUACUGAUAGCCCAACUAGAAAUGGAGGCAAAGAAAAACAUCACCGAUCUCGUAAGUUUGGAAAUUGCUAACAAGGACAAACUGUUAGAAGAUGAUUAAGAUCAUGCUUAUGUCUUAAUUGAAGGGUAGUGGCUUCCAGCUGUCAAGCAAGUUGUGGCUUCUCUCUGCUUAUGUGGCUUUUCCUUCAGAUAUUUUCUUUUUAUGCUGUAAUAGUUGUUAGUAUAAAUAGGUUUUUGGGUUGUAAUAAUUCUACUUGACAAUUCUGCAUUUUAUAAAAAAACACAGAGAAAGUUGCUUCAAGUUUUCUUCCUCUGCCUCUCGGUGUUCUUCAUUUUCAUAACUAGAUUUUGCUAGUGUGAUCAUGAAUGCCAUGUUAUCAAUGUUGAGAUAUAAAUCCCACAUCGGGACUAUGAGACAUUGCUUGUGGGUUUAUAAAGGUUUGGGCCACUCCAUCUAUUGCCAAUUGGUUUUGGAUGUGAACCCCAGAUUAUUUUAUCAUGGUUUCAGAGCGGGUUACCCACAUCCACGUGUGAAGCCUAAUGACUACACGCACUCCACGUCACCCAAAUGUUGUCUACGUGUUAAGCUUGAAGAUUCGCCAUACGUGCGGGGGCGUGUUGAGAUAUAAACCCCACAUUAGGAAUAUGAGACCUUGUAUGUGGGUUUAUAAGGGUUUGUGCCACUUCAUCUGUUGCCAAUUGGUUUGGCAAGCAAUAGGGAGAAUUGCUUACAGCCACUGACAGAAGAGAUAGCUAAAUACAACAGGAUAUUGCAUCUUCCAAAGGAAGAAGUGAAAAAUCUUAUUAAACAAUUAAAGAAUGGUGCGGAACUCGUUCGCAAAUGCUCCAAGAUUCGCAAGCGGGCCAAUUACAAAAAGAACGAGCACAUCACCAAAAUUCUGAGUUUGAACAACUCUCUUCAAAGGCUCAUCAUUCGACUCAAAGUGCAAGUGGAAAAGAGUGUGAAGGAGACUUCGGAUUCAGCAGACAAAAUAGAGGCGGUGAUCAAGAACAUUGAAGCUGGAGGUGUAGAACAAAUUGAUGAUCUUGGAGGUAAAGGUCACAGUCCAGUAGAACCUGGAUCACCUGCUGUUAUACGGGACGUACCACAAGUCAACAUGGAGGUUUCAAGGGAUGUGAUUAAGGAGGCAUUGGUGGAUUCAGCAAAGAUUCUUAUAGAUCAGAAGGGGGUGAAGUCCAAUGAACGGAGUGAUGUGGUACAAGAUCAAAUGGAAACUGCAGCUGGAUUAGAUGUACUGAGUUUGCAGGGAUCGACGGAUGUGGAGACAUUGUGUUCAACUCUUGUUGAUUCAGCAUUAAAGUGUGCAACAAAUAUAGACAAGAUGGCAGUCGACAAAAAUGAAGGAAGUGGUAGUCCAAUUGAAAUUGCAGUAGCUGCUGAAACUGAACCUCCUUCCCCUACAGUUCGGGAUGUGCCGAGGAAUGUUAAAAAGGUAACAGCUGAACCUCAUUGUUCAUCGCCAGCAGUUGGGAUGAGAUUGGGUUCGACAAACAGGACAAAGGUCAAACAACCCGAUAAGGAAGAGGUAAUUAUGUAGGGCAUGCAUUACAAUCAAUGUGAUUUUUUUUUCUCCAAAGCACCACGUAUGCAUUCUCA